AGAUUGAACGCUGGCGGCAUGCCUUACACAUGCAAGUCGAGCGGCAGCGCGGGGGCAACCCUGGCGGCGAGCGGCGAACGGGUGAGUAAUACAUCGGAACGUGUCCAGUAGUGGGGGAUAACCAGUCGAAAGAUUGGCUAAUACCGCAUACGAUCUACGGAUGAAAGCGGGGGACCGCAAGGCCUCGCGCUAUUGGAGCGGCCGAUGUCGGAUUAGCUAGUUGGCGGGGUAAAAGCCCAACCAAGGCAACGAUCCGUAGCUGGUACUGAGAGGAUGAUCAGCCACACUGGGACUGAGACACGGCCCAGACUCCUACGGGAGCAGCGAGGUGGGAAGUUUGGACAAGUGGGGGCAACCCUGAUCC
RNAcentral lists this ribosomal RNA (364 nucleotides) under uncultured soil bacterium. RNAcentral's name for it is "bacterial SSU rRNA". It matches the Rfam family "Bacterial small subunit ribosomal RNA", at positions 26 to 389 of the family's 1533-position model. The record is from RNAcentral.